This 6132-nucleotide long non-coding RNA is filed under the name Taeniopygia guttata (zebra finch). Its description in RNAcentral is "lncRNA (ENSTGUG00000025971.1)". The record is from RNAcentral. Lineage: Eukaryota; Metazoa; Chordata; Aves; Passeriformes; Estrildidae.
GUAGUAGGUUAAGAACGAGAUGUUUUCUUUUUUUAUGUCAUCUGUUCCGUUCACAUACAGUAGAUCAAAAUUGGUACCAUAUUUUCAAAUUUACCAUUUCAGAUUUUUUUCAUCUAAGUUAAUUUAAAGCAAAGGUAUCUUGCAUCAUCUUUAAAAUCUUAGCUGCAUAUUUAUGUCAUAGAAGGAGAUGAUAGCAAGGGCUGUAGAGGAACUACCAGCAUGAUAAACACAUAGAGAUACCUCUCAAAAUACUGGGAAAAAACCUAUCUAAUACUUUUUGAAUUUUUUUCCCCUUUUAUGUUUGUCUCAUGGACUGGCUCUGAUUACAUUAAUGAGUAAUUCAUCAUAACAGAAACAGAUCACCAUAUUGGAGUAGUUAGUGCUGAGAAUCAGUGUGUUUGUUAUAAAUAUUAAAAGGAUUUGAACUUCAGGCUGCCUUUAACUUGAUCUCUUGGACUGGCUCGUCUCACCAUGCAAGCUGCCCAAAAGCUGCCCAAAGGCCCACUGGUUAGUUUGGACUUGAAACACCCUCACUGGAGUGCAUUCCAUGUGCACUGAGCACAGCUUCUGGGUUAGUUCCCUGCAAAGGGAAUUCAGUGCUUCUGUGCACCAAAACUGCUCUGGGAGCUGAGCCAGUGUGCAGUAAAUGGGAACAGUUGGGGGUAGGAUUUGUUGCAAAACUGCAUUGCUGCUCUGAACCAAAGUGGUAAAUAUAUAGGCAAUAAUUUGUAUUUUUGUGGCUUUGGGAAAGCACUGCAUAUUUUUCUCUAGUGUGCAAACCAAGCAAUUUUGACUGCUAAAACUGAAAUGUGUAUUUGUAUACUUUUCUGAUCAGCAUUCUCUGGUAAGUGCUGUAUGUUUGAUGAUGCAAAGAGAGAGCAAGCUGCACUGAAUCAUUAUGUAAGCAGAGAAAUCCUUACAUAUCUGCUUUACAUGCAACUCAGAAUAUUAGAUUUUAUCAGUAAUAAAAACUGUGGCUUUCACAUAAAAAUGAUGAAAAACUCUUUUCCUAGCUUCAAUUCUCGAAAAAGAGAAAGUGAUGGGCAGACUAAUUUUCUAUGAUCAAAGAAGACCCUGCACUACAUAGGGUUUCAUGAGAAUGCAUAAAGAGUGAAGAAACAGAAGUCCAAAAUCAUGUGAUCUUCAUUUAAAGCAAUGUGCAUGAUAUCAUAUAGUACAUUGAGGUACUGAUCAUGAGAUCAGAAGUCAGAACUUCUGCAUGUUAAUUUUGACUUUGUCAGUGAAUUCAGCUUUUGUCAAGUCAUUACUAUGCAGUUUCCCACCAGAGCAAAGGAAUGUUAAUGUUUUGAAGAGCAGAAGGAAGAGUUCAAUACUUAACAGUUUACCUUUCUAAUUUCCAGUUUAUUUAUUUGAUUGAAUCAUUAUUUUACUCUUAAAAGGCUGCUGAAUUUCAUUUGCUAUUGCUGGCUAACUUUUUGCACUAAAUGUUUUAAUUUUGAUUACUCACAGUCAUUUGUGUAAUUUCAGUUCCUUGGCUGGAUUGCUAGAGCUCAGACAAGGUUCUUCUGCAGCUGCUGGUAUAAGUACAAAAUCUAAUUUCAGUUAAUUCUUGCAUAUAUGGUUUUGCAUUUGUUCUUAGCAAGUGAUCAGGCACAUUUUGAAUGAAUGCAUAUUUCCAGAAUCCAAUAGAAAGGAAUGUAAAGUGAGUGGUAAAAAGCAUUUGAUUGCAAAAAAAGGAAAAUUCCUAUGGUAGUGUACUCCAGUGGCUUUGUGCUAAUGCUCUUGAAUUUCUUCCACUGGGAUCUGAUCCAUAAAGGGAUUUGGUUACUUAAAAUAGUAGUUAUGUCUUAAAGUUCUUAAUAUGUGCUAUUAGAACUACAUCUCAGCUUCUGUUUAAGCUUAAUAGAGUACUCUCAUGUUCACACCACAGAUUAUACCACAAUCCACCUUUGAGACUGCUCUGCUACCUGCCCAAGGGAAUGGUGGCACCCGAAAUGAUAGACACUGCUGGAAAUUCAAGCAAAUGUGUUGUACUGCCACCAGUAUGCCUGAACUCGCUGAGAGCCUCCUUAUUCUGACCUGGGGACUCUUUUGCCGCCUGUGAUUGUGCAUUUGCACAUUUGCAGAGGUAUGUCUGUCAGUUUGUAGGUUACUGCUGUAAAGACCUGACAGACAGAGCAGCUCUCAUGCAACAAUGCUGAGGCUUUCCAAAGGACUUUGGUGUGAGCUCACGAGCAGGAAAGACUUCUUGUAAAAGGCUGCCAUCCACUUUUGUGCAGUAUGCAGUUUGAUCCAUAUUCUUACCAAUUAUAUUUUGAGGAUAGUGUCCCAAACUGUACUUUCCCUAUCCCCAGAUGAGAAGCUAAGUUUGCCCAGGGAAUUGGAAGAUGCUGCUUCCCGGGGAGCUGUCAGUCAGCUGUGACUCCAAGCUCCUGGUAUGUCACUCCCUAAUUAAAACCAGCUUCUAGAAUGUGUUUUUCACUCAUGCCUCGAAAUAUUAUUCUAGUUUAGGAAACUAGAAAAAAACCACAGCCAUGCUCAGCUCCUUUCUGAGUCUGGGAGAAUGCAAACCUAUAUUCGCCUUCUGGACAUUCUCUGUCUCUGGGCAUGUUGUCUCCCUUUGUAGUCCUGGUUCUAGAACAACACAAGUGUAUUUGUCUUCUCAUAAGGAGAUACUUUUGUAAAGUUUUCCACUUCAGUUUUGCAAAACCAAAAGUUUCCUGAUGGUCUACAGAUAACUUCAGAUCUAGUUUUUAAUCUGAACUGGAGGCUCUCCACAAGAAUGUUUAGAGAUAGCAUCUCAGUUCAGUUUGGUGAUGAAACACCAGGGGUUUAAUCUGAAAGGUGUUUCUGAUUUUCUUCUUUUAAUGAAACACAAAAAAGGAAAGUAUCUCCCCUUCCACCCCAGGUUUACAGCAAGAGCUGUAGGAAUUAUCACAACUGCAUCUCUCAAACAGAGGGUUUUUUUAAAAGUUUAGGAGACUUAAAAUUUCAGUUUGGUUAUCCUUUUAAAAUUUGAUCCCCAAAAGAAAGUUUGCAGAAAUCCCUAGUAAUUAUGAAUGGGUCACCUGGUAUAUUAUGUCGCUCAAUACUUCUUACCCUCGACCAUUAACCAUUACAUCCCUAUUACAAGUGAGAAUACAGAGACAAACAGCUCAGGCUUUUACUUUGGCACAAUCCAUACAGGUUAAUUAAAAAACAGGCCCAGUACAAAUUAUACCAAAAGAAAAAAGUCCAAAGCAUGAAAAUAAGCCAGAAAAAGAAUUGCAUCAUUUAUUUGUAGCUUCCCUAAGGAUAAGGAAUUGGAGAGUAUGAGUAAGUCUCAAGAAAUGAAAUAAAAACAGCCCAGCUUUUAGUGGCUUUUUCUUAUUCUUACCUUCUGGAGCAGAGCAGGCUACCAAGUACAAGCAACAGAAAUCUGACUGCCUGACAGGUUUUAAAAUAAGAGUGAAGGUGCAGUAAGUAGCUUGGCUUUCUGGUUUGUGACAAGAUACAGUGACCAAGAAAAGUGGAUUUGAAUAUGGGGCAGCACAGCAUUGUGGAUAUCCUAUCUCCUGCUGCUUACAGCCAACCACUGCUUACAGCUGCAGUUGGUGUGCUCUGCAGCUAUUAUGCGUGAAGUAUUUUCAAAGCUCUCUGUAGUAAGGAGAACACACGUUACAUGUCCUUUUGGAUGUUCAAGCCUCUUUUUAUACCUCUCCUUUCCACUCUGCCAUACAGAGGUGCUAUGGGGAGGAAGCAAUGGAUGACUUAUAACUACUGUCUUGGUACAGGGACAGCACAUUUUGUCUGUGAAUUAUCACUUUGGCAUAUCAUUUUGCCACAUACUUGCCUUGCUCUCUGUCCAACACCACAGUUUCAAAUAUUCUGGCAAACUACAUUUAAUAAUGAAAUAUAUUUUCCUGCUUAAUGGUUCAGUGAGAAUUAUCUGGAAUAUUAAUAAGCUUUCUGCUGUGCCUAAAUGGUGUUGUUCAUUUCUGCUUAAAUAAAGCUUAGGAUAACAAAGGAUCAACUGUUUGAGCCAGGGAUUCAUUUAACAUCAUCAUUCACAUUUCCUUAAAAAUCAAGGGUAUUCACAAGGUCAGUGUCUCUAAGGCUACUUUGAGGGACAUAAUUCUGUGCUGUUUACAUUGGUGAAGAAAACAAAAAAGGGCAACACAAUAUUUUUUGGUCACACUCUCCAGUGCCUGUGAAAUAUUUCAGUGAUCAAACCUGGUUGGUUUCAGAGCUACCCUGGAGCGUCCCUGGUCUGAGUUUACAAGGCAGAAAGUUUAGUUACCCAGCACAAGUUUCAUUGUCCUCCUGUUACUGAAAUUUCAUUUCAGAAGGAGAAGAUUUGGGGUGCACUUUUGCCCGUAUUUUUAACAAUUUUUUGUUUAUUUUGGUUUUCACCAGUAAUUUCUGAUCUCUUCUCUCUUUUUAUGCCACAUUCUGUCCCUACUCAAAAUAGGUUGUUUGGUGAGCACAAAGACAUUUAAAGGGCUUCAACCAAGUUAAAAAUAUGUGUAGAACUGAUGGAAGACUUAAUAUGAGAAAGUGGGAAAGGCUUACCUGGUAAAAUAUUUUGGCACCCCCCCCCCCCCCCCCCCGCCACUGCUCCCCGCUCUGAGAUUCAUUUGACUGUAUCACAAUCCCAGUUUUCAUGUAAAAAUAACUGAUGCCCCUACUGGUGCCUGCAGGUAUAAUGUGAAAAAAUACCUGUGAGCAAUGCUGAUGUGCAUCAGGAAGUUCAACAGUGUUCAGUAGCUUCAGGGCCCCCAUACAAUUUAUCAAAUGACCCCAUGUCCUAGCAUGAGAAAAAGAUGAAGACCUUAUUAAACCCUCCAAAACCUUGGCUUUUGCAGUAAUAAUCUCUUUGCCUCUGUCAGCCUGUGAGGGGCAAAUGGGAACGAACCAUGGGAUGUGUGUGAGAAGCCAGGACCACGCAAUUUUCAUGUCACGCUGUGCCUUGGGCAGAAGCUUCCAGUCAUCUGACCCUGUCCUCAGCAUCUGUUUCCCCGAAUUGCAAAUAGUUCCAUUACCAUCAUGCUGUUUUAUGUCCUGCAAAUGCAAAUUUGCCCUGUGACAGAAUGAGUCCUAUGCCUGAUGGAGAUUUCGCCAUCCCGUAUUGUGUGUGCAGGUCCUACGUAAGCCUAAGAGAAACCUUCUGACGUGUACUACUGAUUGUUUACAUAUGUUAUCAGAGGGAAAAAAAACAGGAAAGGAAAGCUGUCAGCUUACACUGCCAAGAGACCUGGCAGUGGUAUAAUCACAUUUAGAUCAUUUCCAGUCAAUAGAUUUUGUUCUCGUUUUUAAAAAAAAACCUUCCUAGAAAGUUGCUGCACUGUUCUUUUUACUCUGCUACAGUCAGUCCAGAAAAUACCUGCAAUGGCUCCUAUCCUUACAACCAAAGCAGGCAACAUCAGGAGAUGCUUCCAGAGAGAAGGUGGAAGAUGUGGCAAGAGAAUGUGCUUUAUACCAGUUCAAAAUAUGUAACACUGCUUGCAGCUGUGAUUACGGUUCAGUAUGAUAAAGGUCUUUAAAUGAUAGUGAAGUCACAGACUUGUAAUGUAAGUAGAAAUUGAUGCCAAAAAGAAGAUAAAGUUUGGAACCUGGGUGUAUUUCUCAUCUUCAGGUCAAGCUCCAUAAUGGGACUAAAAAAGACUGGAGCACUGGAAGACUGGGACUCCAGCUGCCUGCGUCUAGGAAUUGCUGGUAGCAGAGAGAAUGGUUCCUUUGUCCCACUAAGCCAGAAGAGCUCAUUGCUUCUCUGAAACAAAAUACUAGAGGGAAUAGACACCAAAGCAAGUUUAAUUAAUGUCUGACUAAGUUAAUGUGUUUAAAUCUGGCUUCUUUAAACUAUUCUGCAUCCAUUCACACGUACAUAUGAUACUAGAAAUGUUUUUAGGGUGAAAUAGAAGUCACAAACUUACAUCAGCAUCUCAAGUACUACAAUUCCAGCUAGUCCAGGCCCAAGCCUUGGGAGUCCUAUACUAUUAAUACAAAACUGUUCUCAUAAUUAGCAUUUGGGGACUGAAGACUGCCGUUUUUGAAGAUGUCAAUUCAUUUUACAAUCACAGUCUUAAUAUUUUCUCUGCCUGAAGACAUACAACAUGAGCAAAAAUAAAAUUUUUGCAUAUUAGCAUAAAUAUUAGUCAUUCAUAUUAGCGUUAUGCAGAGACAAAAAAAAAA